Sceloporus undulatus (fence lizard) is the source of this 419-nucleotide long non-coding RNA. RefSeq lists it as uncharacterized. The record is from RefSeq and is a predicted model, not a curated record. The transcript has 3 exons. NCBI's taxonomy places the organism in Eukaryota, Metazoa, Chordata, Lepidosauria, Squamata, Phrynosomatidae.
AGCCAAAGAUUUCUAGCAACAUCUGAUUUAUAAAAUCCCUUUUCUCUAGAUAAAGAAACAAGCCUAUAAGAACUUGUUUACUCAGUUCUCUCUUCUUCAAGAUAGUAGAGUGAAGGGGUAGGAGGGAAGGGAGAAUGAGCAGUGGGAGUGACAAAGUGCCAAAAGCAAGGGAAAGUGUGAGGUCUUGAGGCAAAGGAGUUCAUAGUAGGAAGAAUGCAGUUGAUUCCUUGAUGCUACUCAUUAACUACGUCAAUAUCCUUCUGGCCUUGGUGGCAUCUUUCCAGACCUGGGGGAUGCAUUUAACAUCCUCCCUGAAGUACAUGAACAACGAGAGAAAUGGAGACGUGCAUCUACUCCCCUGAAUUCUUUUUUUCAAUUUCUUAAAAAUCCCAGUGUAAAAAAUAAAGGUUUAUUCAGUA